Molecule: long non-coding RNA, 603 nt
Organism: Oncorhynchus keta (chum salmon)
Lineage: Eukaryota; Metazoa; Chordata; Actinopteri; Salmoniformes; Salmonidae
Exons: 3
Source: RefSeq, a predicted model, not a curated record
UAAUCACUACAUUCAUACAGUUUAUUGACUGGGUCCAGUUCACUAAUAAUCACUACAUUCAUACAGUUUAUUGACUGGGUCCAGCUCACUAAUAAUCACUACAUUCAUACAGUUUAUUGACUGGGUCCAGCUCACUAAUAAUCACUACAUUCAUACAGUUUAUUGACUGGGUCCAGCUCACUAAUAAUCACUACAUUCAUACAGUUUAUUGACUGGGUCCAGCUCACUAAUAAUCACUACAUUCAUACAGUUUAUUGACUGGGUCCAGUUCACUAAUAAUCACUACAUUCAUACAGUUUAUUGACUGGGUCCAGCUCACUAAUAAUCACUACAUUCAUACAGUUUAUUGACUGGGUCCAGUUCACUAAUAAUCACUACAUUCAUACAGUUUAUUGACUGGGUCCAGCUCACUAAUAAUCACUACAUUCAUACAGUUUAUUGACUGGGUCCAGUUCACUAAUAAUCACUACAUUCAUACAGUUUAUUGACUGGGUCCAGCUCACUAAUAAUCACUACAUUCAUACAGUUUAUUGACUGGGUCCAGUUCACUAAUAAUCACUACAUUCAUACAGUUUAUUGACUGGGUCCAGCUCACUAAUAAUC